ACUACGGGAGGCAGCAGUGAGGAAUAUUGGUCAAUGGCCGGGAGGCUGAACCAGCCAAGUCGCGUGAGGGAAGACGGCCCUACGGGUUGUAAACCUCUUUUGUCAGGGAGCAAGGUGCAGGUCGGGACCUGCUGUGAGAGUACCUGAAGAAAAAGCAUCGGCUAACUCCGUGCCAGCAGCCGCGUUAAUACGGAGGAUGCGAGCGUUCUCCGGAUUUAUUGGGUUUAAAGGGUGCGCAGGCGGAGGCACAAGUCAGCGGGAAAAUCGCGAGGCUCAACCCCGCUUCGCCGUUGAGACUGUGUCCCUUGAGUGCGCGAAGGGUAGGCGGAAUGCGUGGUGUAGCGGUGAAAUGCAUAGAUAUCACGCAGAACUCCGAUCGCGAAGGCAGCCUACCGGCGCGCAACUGACGCUCAUGCACGAAAGCGUGGGUAUCGAACAGGAUUAGAUACCCUAGUAGUC
Molecule: ribosomal RNA, 459 nt
Filed under: uncultured bacterium
Lineage: Bacteria
Description: partial 16S ribosomal RNA
Rfam family: Bacterial small subunit ribosomal RNA
Source: RNAcentral